Molecule: ribosomal RNA, 384 nt
Filed under: Pilophorus discretus
Lineage: Eukaryota; Metazoa; Arthropoda; Insecta; Hemiptera; Miridae
Also listed under: 3 other names
Description: eukaryotic LSU rRNA
Rfam family: Eukaryotic large subunit ribosomal RNA
Source: RNAcentral
GGGCGUCUCUUUCUCAUUACGAGUGGAGGCGCACCCAGAGCGUACACGCUGAUACCCGAAAGAUGGUGAACUAUGCCUGGCCAGGACGAAGCCAGGGGAAACCCUGGUGGAGGUCCGCAGCGAUUCUGACGUGCAAAUCGAUCGUCGGAGCUGGGUAUAGGGGCGAAAGACCAAUCGAACCAUCUAGUAGCUGGUUCCCUCCGAAGUUUCCCUCAGGAUAGCUUGCGCUCAUGGGAACGAGUCUCAUCCGGUAGAGCGAAUGAUUAGAGGCCUUGGGGUCGAAACGACCUCAACCUAUUCUCAAACUCCAAAUAGAUGAGAACUCCGGCUUCCUUGAAAAAUGAAGCCGGGGGCUUGGAUCAGAGUGCCAAGUGGGCCAAUUUU